CGUGUAGUGAUUCUGCUUGAUGUUGGGCACGAUCAUCCAGCUGUCCAUCGAGUUACACAGACCUGAAACGUCACGCACAACACCCAAAACAG
Long non-coding RNA from Sinocyclocheilus grahami, 92 nucleotides. RefSeq lists it as uncharacterized. The transcript is spliced from 3 exons. The record is from RefSeq and is a predicted model, not a curated record. NCBI's taxonomy places the organism in Eukaryota, Metazoa, Chordata, Actinopteri, Cypriniformes, Cyprinidae.